AAGGAAGGACAGAAAUCAGUAAGUACUGCUAAUACUUACACCCGGGGUUAAAAUCCCCGGCUUUCUUAC
This 69-nucleotide transfer RNA is filed under the name Rhynchocypris lagowskii (Amur minnow). RNAcentral describes it as "tRNA-Ser". Lineage: Eukaryota; Metazoa; Chordata; Actinopteri; Cypriniformes; Leuciscidae. The record is from RNAcentral.